AAUGAACGCUGGCGGCAGGCCUAACACAUGCAAGUCGAACGGCAACACAGUGAGAGCUUGCUCUUACCGGUGGCGAGACGCGGACGGGAGAGGAGUAUAACCGACUCUACUCUUUCGUGGGGGAUCACGUAGGGAAAGUUACUCUCAUACCGCAUACGCCCUACGAGUGUAAGCAGGGGAUCUUCUCACCUUGCGCGAAUGAAUGAGCCGCUGUCGAAUUAGCUAGUGGGCGGGGUAAAGGCCAACUAAGGCGACGAUCCGUAGCUGGUCUGAGAGGAGGAUCGGCCACAUUGGAACGUAGACACGGUCCAGACUCCUACGGGAGGCAGCAGUGUGGAAUAUUGGACAAUGGUCGCAAGCCUGAUCCAGCCAGACCGCGUGGGUGAAGAAGGCCUUCGGGUUGUAAAGCCCGUUUGUUGGGAAAGAAAAGCAGUAGGUUAAUACCCCGCUGUAGUGACGGUACCCGAAGAAGAAGCACCGGCUAACUUCGUG
This 492-nucleotide ribosomal RNA is filed under the name uncultured bacterium. RNAcentral describes it as "partial 16S ribosomal RNA". It matches the Rfam family "Bacterial small subunit ribosomal RNA", at positions 29 to 507 of the family's 1533-position model. The record is from RNAcentral.